AGAGUUUGAUCCUGGCUCAGGAUGAACGCUGGCGGCGUGCUUAACACAUGCAAGUCGAACGGGAAACAUUUUGAUGAAGCUUCGGCAGAUUUAGCUUGUUUCUAGUGGCGGACGGGUGAGUAACGCGUGGGUAACCUGCCUCACACUGGGGGAUAACAGUCAGAAAUGACUGCUAAUACCGCAUAAGCGCACGGAACCGCAUGGUUUUGUGUGAAAAACUCCGGUGGUGUGAGAUGGACCCGCGUUGGAUUAGCCAGUUGGCAGGGUAACGGCCUACCAAAGCGACGAUCCAUAGCCGGCCUGAGAGGGUGAACGGCCACAUUGGGACUGAGACACGGCCCAGACUCCUACGGGAGGCAGCAGUGGGGAAUAUUGCACAAUGGGGGAAACCCUGAUGCAGCGACGCCGCGUGAAGGAAGAAGUAUCUCGGUAUGUAAACUUCUAUCAGCAGGGAAGAUAAUGACGGUACCUGACUAAGAAGCCCCGGCUAACUACGUGCCAGCAGCCGCGGUAAUACGUAGGGGGCAAGCGUUAUCCGGAUUUACUGGGUGUAAAGGGAGCGUAGACGGAGCAGCAAGUCUGAUGUGAAAGGCAGGGGCUCAACCCCUGGACUGCAUUGGAAACUGUUGAUCUUGAGUACCGGAGGGGUAAGCGGAAUUCCUAGUGUAGCGGUGAAAUGCGUAGAUAUUAGGAGGAACACCAGUGGCGAAGGCGGCUUACUGGACGGUAACUGACGUUGAGGCUCGAAAGUGCGGGUAUCAAACAGGAUUAGAUACCCUGGUAGUCCGCACAGUAAACGAUGAAUACUCGCGGUUGGCGAUAUACAGUCAGCCGCCAAGCGAAAGCGUUAAGUAUUCCACCUGGGGAGUACGCCGGCAACGGUGAAACUCAAAGGAAUUGACGGGGGCCCGCACAAGCGGAGGAACAUGUGGUUUAAUUCGAUGAUACGCGAGGAACCUUACCCGGGCUUGAACUGCCAGUGACGCAUGCAGAGACGCAUGUUUCUUCGGACACUGGCGGAGGUGCUGCAUGGUUGUCGUCAGCUCGUGCCGUGAGGUGUCGGCUUAAGUGCCAUAACGAGCGCAACCCUCAUUCUCGUUUGCCAUCAGGUUAAGCUGGGCACUCCGGGAAUACUGCCAUCGUAAGAUGUGAGGAAGGUGGGGAUGACGUCAAAUCAGCACGGCCCUUACGUCCGGGGCUACACACGUGUUACAAUGGGCGGUACAGAGGGUCGCUACCUGGUGACAGGACGCCAAUCCUCAAAGCCGUUCUCAGUUCGGACUGGAGUCUGCAACCCGACUCCACGAAGCUGGAUUCGCUAGUAAUCGCGCAUCAGCCAUGGCGCGGUGAAUACGUUCCCGGGCCUUGCACACACCGCCCGUCA
Molecule: ribosomal RNA, 1384 nt
Filed under: uncultured bacterium
Lineage: Bacteria
Description: partial 16S ribosomal RNA
Rfam family: Bacterial small subunit ribosomal RNA
Source: RNAcentral